UUUUUUUGAGCAAAGGUCUAAGUUUAUUUCAAACUUGCCACAAGGGUACUAACUUCAAAGAAAGCCUGGUCAAAUCUUGCUUCCACAAACAGAAUCUUUAUAAAAACAAAACAAACAAAGCAAAACCACUGUCUUGAUAAGACAGUUGGCCUAGGUGCAGAGAGGAACAUCUGUUAAAGUUUAUUGAUCCAGCUCCAAGAUUGUUACAAGUUUAAAUUUGCAAAACUAUGAUGUAUAGAUCCAUUUUGCAGGCUAAAUUCUAAUUUCACUGACCUGGAAGUUAAUCAGAUACACAACCAACUAGUAAAGAAAGAUUGCUCAAGUAUCUUAUCUAAAAAUAAUUAUAUUUUUUUCUCAGAUCUGUGACACUUCAUGUCCUUUUUUAUUCCUAAAAUUAAUCCUCAGAAAAAGGUGAGACAACAUAAACUGAACGUUCUAAUGUAUACUAUCUAUCAUGAAUAAAGACAGCAACACAAAUUUUUUGUGACUAAUAAGAAUUAUUAGUAAAAAUAAAAAUAAUAGUAGUAAAUAUUCAAUGUCAUCGCAUUGAACUAUGAAGAGACAUGAUCAGACCCUACUGAGAAAACUUCAGUGGUUUUCUAUCCUUUACCACACUCUAAAUGGAAUAUUCUGUCAACUAACAAAUUCUCUCCAUUUUGAUUUCCAUUCAUUAAGUAUUCUUAUCAUUAUUUGACUAGCUGUAAAAAGCGCUUUGUGGUCAGAGAAACCUGGCUUGAAUUAUCUGCCCCACCAAUUAACCAGCUUUGCAGGCUGGAAAAAUUAUUUAAACUUUCUGAACAUCAGUUUCCUCAUUGCUAAAAUAGAAAUCUUUUCUCAAUUAGAAAAUAGAAUUCUCAAAUAGAAUUGUUACAGUUACAUAUGAUAACACAUGUGAGGUCCUGCUGUGGCACAGUGGGUUAGGAAUCUGACUGCAGAGGCUCAGGUCACCAGGAGGUGCAGCUUCAAUCCCUGGCCCAGCCCAGUGGGUUAAAAGAUCCAGCACUGUCACAGAGGUUGCAGCUGAGGCUCAGGUGCAGCCAUAAACUUUUUUUGUUUUAAUUUUUAAAAAAGACUAACUUGGAAGAUAAUGCAUGUGAAAGUAUUUGGUACAAAGUAAGCAUCUAAUAAACUAUAAUUAUUUUAAUUAAAUCACCAUCACCAUAAUUUUUUCCCAGCUAGCAUGGGUAUACUCUGCCCAUUGCAUGGCAAAGAAAUCAAAGCACUAGAUUUGAGUCUUAGCUCCAAAUCUUAUUACCUAUGAGAUCAAAUAGAUCAUUUAAGGUUUCUCAUUUGAAUUCCUUAUCUAUAAAAUUGGGGUAAAGUAAGAACUACAUUACAGAGUUGUGGUGACAACUAAUUGAAAUAAUACAAGGAAGUAUCCACUGCCAAUAUGGGGUAGUUCUUUUUUUGUUUUUUUGUCUUUUUGCCCUUUCUAGGGCUGCUCCCGCGGCAUAUGGAGGUUCCCAGGCUAGGGGUCUAAUGGGAGCUGUAGCCACCGGCCUAUGCCAGAGCCACAGCAACGCCAGAUCUGAGCCGCAUCUGUGACCUACACCACAGCUCACGGCAAAGCCGGAUCCUUAACCCACUGAGCAAGGGCAGGGAUCGAACCCCCAACUGGUUCCUAGUCAGAUUUGUUAACCACUGAGCCACGAUGGGAACUCCUGGAGUAGUUCUUCACUAAAUGAUAUUGCUCUUACUCAGCAUGUCCAGAUUUUGUAUUCUGGCCAAUGGAGAGGCAUUUUGCAUUCCUGUGUUAUAAGUGAAUAAACUGUCAUUUAAUUUGUUUGUUCAAUAGUUAAAUAUUUUUAGUGUGAGGUGGUCCUCUAGGCCCUCAAGGGCUACUCAUCCCUGGAGAAAGUGAUCAAAUCACCUUAAAAAACAUGUAAAAUUGUGGAUGAAAUCAGAUUAGCUCACCAAUCCUUUUCCACCUAAGAAGUCCUGCCCCAUGAAAUCAUUUGUUCUUUAGUAAAAAUGACUGUAAGCAUAUUAAAAAGAAAUGAAAAUCAGAGUACUGAGUUCCAUAUCACAUCUAAGUAGGGAAAAAUGGUUGCAAAUUUCCUGUGGGUAAAGUCCAAUUUGAGGUCCAUUAGUUGCUAGACAUGAGAGUAGUUUCUCAGGAGCUUGCACCCUCUUGUCGUCCGUCACACCCGACCUCAGCUCUGGGCCACACAAACUGAUGUCUGCUCUGUGCUUCUGCCGUGCUGAAUUACCUGCACUUCCUUAUGUCAACACCACUGUACCAUCUAGUCCCGCCCUACCUUUCUUCUACAAGUGCAUAAAUCUGAAGACUCAGCUCAAGCAUCAUUUCCUCUGGACAGACUCUUCUCUCACAUCAUCAAUACGCUUCUUCAGUAUUUCUUUGGACUCUGUCUUAAAGUUCACUAUAGACAUCCCAGGGAGUAUGUUUUUUAUGCUCCAUCUUCUCUAAAGCAUGAAGUGUAGACACUGUAUCUUAGUUCCCUUCUCCCCUGACUUUUCUUAUUUUUUACCUCAGGCCUAGCCAAUAGUAAAUUCCCUCUCUCUCUUCCUCCCUCCCUCUCUUCUUUUUGGCCAUGCACAUGGCAUGUGGAAGUUCCUGGAUCAGGAAUCAAACCCAUGCCACAGCAGUGACCCAAGCCACUGCAGUGACAACACCAGAUCUUUAGGCCACUACACCAAGAGAACUCUAGUUAAGUUCUCACUAAUACUUAACUUGAGACUGAAGAUCAAAAAUUGAGAUAAAAAUAAGCAGUCAUAACUUUAAUUGGAGGGUAGAUGGCAAGUGUUGCGAUCUUCCGGUGUGUUAUUCUUAGCAAGUUUUCUGUUGUUAUUUGUUUUAUUUUGGUUUUAGUGUAAAGUACAUUUUUAAUCUCUAAAAGGGGAGUAAUAAUUAUUAUUCAAGAUGAUUGCAAGAUUUGGACAUGAUAACUCGUAGAUGCACAUAAGGUAGUACUUGGACCAAGGUGAGGGAUAAGUAGGUAUUGCUAACCUAACCCAAUGAUCAGUAGUCUUGGAGUUCCUAUCUUGGCACAGUGGAAACAAAUCCAACUAGGAGCCAUGAGGUUGUGGGUUCAAUCUCUGACCUCACUCAGUGGGUUAAGGAUCUGGUAUUGCCGUGAGCUGUGGUGUAGUUCACAGAUAUGGCUUGGAUCCUGUGUUACUGUAGCUGUGGUAGAGGCCAGCAGCUGUAGCUCCAAUUGGAUCUCUACCCUGGAAACCUCCACAUGCUGUGGGUGCAGCCCUAAAAAGCAAAAAAAAAAAAAAAAAAAAAAUUAUCAGUAGUUUUUCAUAAAAAACAACUUAAGCACAAUAAUCAGUGACUGACAUAGACCUUACUAAAGAUUUCAAGGGAAAAACAGAGAAAAGUGUUUAUGUUUCACUCCCCACCACAAGCCACAGAAAAUCCUCAGUGGAAGGCCUCUUCUCGGCAAUAACAGUACUGGGGAUUUCCUCUUUGACCCUUGAGUAACUACCUAGGGGUAGAAUAGUUGGCUUAUAUAACAGAUGAAUGCUAAACUUAAGAAAGAAAGAAAGAAAGAAAGAAAAACCACCAAACAGUUUUUAUAAGGUUUUGUACCAGUCUACAUUCCCACUGAGAGUAUCUGAGGGGUCUAGUUUUUCCACAUCUUCAUUAACUUUUGGUAUAGUUGGUAUUUUAAAAUUUUAGUCAUUUUAUAUCAUAUCCAUAAUGCUCUUAACAUCUCUAAUACAUAAAGAACUACUUAAACUAGUAAGAAAAGAACAAUCAAAAAAACAGACAUAAUUCUUGCAAAAGUACUUAACUAAAGACAAGACGGUUAAUUCAUCUGCUGAGAGUAGGAAGAGCCUAAGGAGAAAGAUGAAUCUUUAAAAUAGGCCAAGAAAGGAACGAGAAUCACUCAUGACUCAGACCACAUGACUCAGAAGGAUUCCGUGGUAACAGUGGGAGCCCAAUUGAGGCAUUAUUCAAUAGGGUUAAAUAAUUUCUUCAACACUGUUCAGUCUCUUGGGAACAGCAGCAGAUAAACAGGGUCCAAAUCAGAGAUAAUAAUUAUCACAACGAAUUAUUCAAUGAGAAAUAACAGGGUGUGAAAACUGCUAAAACCAACAACUCCCAAAUUCGAAUGAUUUACCUCACAGAGUUUCUCACCUGACAUUGAAGUGCAGGUCAGUGGAUGGUCUCUAUUCCACACAGUCACUCAGGGACCCAAGAUCCUUUUAUCCUGUCUCUUCUGUAAGUUUUUGAAGGUCUCUUCAUUCAUCUAGCGGAUGUAGUAAUAAUGCUGGGAUUAGACAUGGGAGGCUUUGAUGAGCUAGGUCUGGAAGUGCCACACAUCCAUUCAAACUUCACGGCCAUAACUUUGUCACUGGUUUGAUCUAAUUGCCAGGAGAAAGGGAUAAAGAAAUUACAUAUCCUGCACAUGAAGAUAAUAAACACAGUGAUAGCCAUGUUCAGUCUCUGACACACAAGGCAAAAGUCAGGUAUCAGAAUAUUUUUCAGUAUAAGAUAAAAUAGAGAUAUGGGAAUUUUUCAAGCUCAGUUUACAUAGUGACAUGAUGUAUUAGACACCUUCAUCUCCCACUUCUCUUCUGUAACACUAGUUCAUGCCCCAGCUCCUUAACUUUUUUAGCACUUAGGCCAGUCUUCCUUUCUGCCUUAUUCCUGGCAUCAUUCCCAGUUUGUACAUGAGCAUUCAUAUUCCUCCAACUCUGUGCCAAGAAUUCACAUUUGUGUUUGAGUUCACUCCCUCUACAGAGAUCCAUUCUAGCUGCCUGUGGUCUGGUUUACCUUUGUGCUCAGUAGUUGGUUUCCUCUGUUGUUUUCUUCACUGACUCAAAAUCCUAUUCAUUCUUCAAGGCUCAGCAUAGUUCAAAGAACAUUUCUCUGGGGAGCUCUUGCAUAAAAACCAAACACCUGGAGUCCCCAUCAUGGCUCAGUUGUUAACGAAUCCGACUAGGAACCAUGAGCAGAUGUUUUUUCUUAAGUGUGUGUGUGUGUGUGUGUGUGUGUUCAUAAUCCUGAGCACAUGUAUUCAUGGCACAGAUCCAAUAAAUAUGAUCUCAUCAGAAAAGUUCUGAGAUUCUCAUUUCUGCAGUAGAUGGUGAAAAGAUUUAAACUCAUGUGUUAAGUAUAAGAAAUACACAGAUACUCUUUUUUAACAAGAAGGAAUCCUGAAUAAGCAAGCACAAAAUGUAUCUCAGUAAAUAGGGAAGACUAUAUAAACUGUAUCAUGUUAUGCAAAUACAAAGCAUUAUUAUUACAAAGUAGAAUAAAAUUAAAGUUACAAUUUUGUAUGUUCUCCAGUUACCAUUAAGAAUCCAGUUCAUAACUCCGUUUUUUAUUGCUUUUCUUAAAUUCUCUGUUGGGAGAAAUUAAACUCAUUGGCUAUUUUCCACCAAAAAAUUGCUUAAUAGAGCCAAACACACUUCUGUAACUGCUCCUUUUUCCUAAAUACUGCAGGAAAGCCCCAUGGACAUCUGGUUUAAGCAAAUAGAGGCAUAUGACCAAUUAUGCAUGCAAAGUGGAGAGAAAUGACAAAAGAUUCAGAAAUUGAGGGUUCACAGCAAAAUGUGUCCUUUAAUAUAUAAAAUAUAUUUCAGAGAUAUAAAUUUUUUUCUACCGCACAUGAAACUGACAAAAAAUAAAUAUACCAAACCCUUUCAUUGUCUGUAAGGUUCAUCUUUGUAGGAAUCUUGUUUACAAAUUCGCUUUUCAGGAAGUUGAUUUAUAGCUUUGAGGUUGCUAUUCCUUAAAUGUUUCUAAGAAAGUAAAAGUUACCAAGUUAGUACACAGAAUUAAAAACUGAGGCUGAAAUAAAGAAUAAAGACAACUAAAAAUAUUUCAUGCCCUCAUUUUUUUUUUGAAGCCUUGAAGUGAUUUUUUUUUUUAAGAGUUCAUGUUAUGACCCUAGUUGAAAAUACUUCUCUCUCAUUGUCAUUUUAUUCUGUACAGCAUUAAACAACAUGGAAUCUAGGUUACUUCUGAUUAACUAAAGAUUGAAGGAGACAGAGUAAUUUCAGGUUUAACCAUCUCCUGACUAUUCUAUGGACUUCUAUAGUAAAAUAAAAUGCAAGCAAAAUAAAAUGAAAAUAAAAUAUAAAAAUAUUUAUAUGAUUUAACUAAAUUAAAAUAGAUUCUGAUAAUUAGCACUACCACACAAAGGGCAAAAAUGUGUCUGCAGAGAAUACACUGGCAUUCCUUCAGUAACAACAAUGAUAUAUUAAGCAUCUACCUCAUGUGAGGUGCAGUAAGAGUUGAUUUAUAGGUUACACCUAUUAGCCAGAGUGGAGUCCCCCACCACCUCACCACUCACCAGACAACACAUCUGUAAAAGAAAUUCUGGAACCAGUCAUGUUGGGAAAAGAUAUGGCCCGCUAAAUCUACCACCCUGUUUUUCUUGGUCAUGUCCUAAGACUUAAGGUCAUCUGCCCUUUUAGGUCCUCAGUCACUCUCAUCUAUCCAUCCAUUUAUUCAAAAGCAUGCAAUGACUUACUGUGAGUUAGGCACUUCUUUAUGGGAUGCAAACCAGAUACAUUUCCUAUUCCCACAUUACUUUAGUAGAAGAGACAGUUAUCAAAUAGUUACCUAAAUGCCUAAAUAGUUAUGCAUUAAAAUAAGAGCUGUGGUAGAAAGGUAUCAUAUGCUACGAGAAAGAAUAUUAGUGAGGUCUAAUUUAAUUUGGGGACUUAGAAAAAAAAAAGAACUUUAAGAAAAUAACUUUUUUUUUUUUUUUCUUUUCUAGGGCUGCUCCAGUGGCAUAUGGAGGUUCCCAGGCCAGGGGUCUAAUCGGAGCUGUAGCUGCUGACCUAUACCACAGC
This 6777-nucleotide long non-coding RNA is filed under the name Sus scrofa (pig). Its description in RNAcentral is "lncRNA (ENSSSCG00005034496.1)". The record is from RNAcentral. Lineage: Eukaryota; Metazoa; Chordata; Mammalia; Artiodactyla; Suidae.